GUAAUCAGAAAGCUUUUAUUGAGUUAUUAGACAAAUCAGUCAUAACAUCAGUCUGAUGUCAAAUAUAAAAAAAAAUACAUUCCUUAAGGAUUGAACUUAAUUAUGAAGUAUCCCUUACAACAUUAAUUCCAAAGAGGUUACUGGAAUGAAGAGAUCGAGGAGAAUGAAGAACCGAUAGCACUCGUUCUGUGCAGAAGGCCACAGCCACUCAAUUUUGGGGUUAAU
Apis laboriosa (Himalayan honeybee) is the source of this 225-nucleotide long non-coding RNA. RefSeq lists it as uncharacterized. The record is from RefSeq and is a predicted model, not a curated record. The transcript is spliced from 3 exons. NCBI's taxonomy places the organism in Eukaryota, Metazoa, Arthropoda, Insecta, Hymenoptera, Apidae.